Molecule: transfer RNA, 73 nt
Rfam family: tRNA
About the family: Transfer RNA (tRNA) molecules are approximately 80 nucleotides in length. Their secondary structure includes four short double-helical elements and three loops (D, anti-codon, and T loops). Further hydrogen bonds mediate the characteristic L-shaped molecular structure. tRNAs have two regions of fundamental functional importance: the anti-codon, which is responsible for specific mRNA codon recognition, and the 3' end, to which the tRNAs corresponding amino acid is attached (by aminoacyl-tRNA synthetases). tRNAs cope with the degeneracy of the genetic code in two manners: having more than one tRNA (with a specific anti-codon) for a particular amino acid; and 'wobble' base-pairing, i.e. permitting non-standard base-pairing at the 3rd anti-codon position.
Source: Rfam
GACAACGUAGCCCAAUGGCUAGAGCGCAGGGCGAAGCCCUGAUCUGAUGUUGGUUCAAAACCAACCGUUGUCA